RNAcentral lists this transfer RNA (74 nucleotides) under Homalodisca vitripennis (glassy-winged sharpshooter). RNAcentral describes it as "tRNA-Ile". It matches the Rfam family "tRNA". From Rfam's summary of the family: Transfer RNA (tRNA) molecules are approximately 80 nucleotides in length. Lineage: Eukaryota; Metazoa; Arthropoda; Insecta; Hemiptera; Cicadellidae. The record is from RNAcentral.
UCACCAGUGGCGCAAUUGGUUAGCGCACGGUACUUAUGAUGCCGGGGUUGUGAGUUCAAGCCUCACCUGGGGAA